Molecule: long non-coding RNA, 363 nt
Organism: Mugil cephalus (flathead mullet)
Lineage: Eukaryota; Metazoa; Chordata; Actinopteri; Mugiliformes; Mugilidae
Exons: 3
Source: RefSeq, a predicted model, not a curated record
AACAGUGUGAAGAAAUAAAGAUAUAAAGAGUCUGAUAUUUCGUUUUUUAAGUCUAUGAUGAUACGUUUUAUUGUAGAUCUGAGCUAAUGCAUUUUGUUCUUUUUAAAACAUCGUCUGGUGUUUUAGGCCUCACAGGGAUCAAACUCUUCCUUUAAUGGGACAGUGGGAUGUAAUUUAAUGGCUCAACAAGGCUGGUUCUGUGAUGAUGGAUGGAGCCGGUAUUUACCAUCUCCCCUGAGGUGAUGGUGAUUCUCCUGUUCCAGACUUUGAUUACAGGUCAAGCGAACACAGUCGUCUACAGGAAAGUAGGAGAUGAAGUCGUCCUGAGUCCAGGCUCUGAGGCUUCACCCGUCAGCAGGAUCA